UAAUCCACAGUGGUCCUGCGUGUGCCCUU
RNAcentral lists this non-coding RNA (29 nucleotides) under Homo sapiens (human). The record is from RNAcentral. Lineage: Eukaryota; Metazoa; Chordata; Mammalia; Primates; Hominidae.